Molecule: unclassified non-coding RNA, 339 nt
Filed under: Hevea brasiliensis (rubber tree)
Lineage: Eukaryota; Viridiplantae; Streptophyta; Magnoliopsida; Malpighiales; Euphorbiaceae
Source: RNAcentral
AUAGCUCUGGUGACUUCUAACUCUGGCCACCCAUCAUUACUACUUCCAUGGCCUUUGGUGAAUGCGUGUAAGGGGGUGUUGAGUGGCUGAACAGCAGCGGCGGGGGAAAGAGAAACAAUGUAUUCUCCUCAUUGUUUUCGGUGAACCAAACCUCCCUUUUCGNNGACCACAAGACAGGACUCCUUUCAACGCCACAUUUUAUCCACGACCAACCCCUCACAGUUUCAUGGAGUUUUUCGACAGAUCGGAAAAUUAAGUGGCGGUAAUUUUGGCUUCAGUUGAGCCAGACGACAACAUAUUUGCUCCGGCAACCACUACCACAGCUCUCUUGACAUCGAC